GCCUGAGGAUUGAAGUCUGAGGAUUUACCCCAGUGUCAGACCAAGCCCUGCAUGAACAUUUAUCCUGUGAUUAGUGUCCUUGUGAAAAGUGUUCAGAGGAUUAGAAGAAUCAUUGCAGAGCUCCUCCUGCAUGCAUAAUAUACAAAAGCUAAUAUUUGGAUUGAAGCAGCAUGUUCAGUGUCCAACCACUGUGCUUUUGUGCAGGAGGAGUGGCUCACUAUUAGUCUCACUGUGCCAGUUUUCCUCCUAAUUGUACACUCGGUGCCACAUGAACAGAAUGAAUAUCCACACCCCCAGAAAAUGUGUCCUUAAAUGUUUGAGUUAACGCUGCAGACAAAUGUGAGACAAAUGAGCUAGUUAGAUGUGUUUACCUCUUCUUUUUCCAAAUGUUUCAGCCUCAAUUUAAAAUAUGGAAGCUCCAGGACCGAGAAACCUGUGAAGACAUGGUCGGUUUAUUUUUUCUGACCAAAAAACGUCCUUUGUUAGGAUGAGAAAACUGAAUUUGAAGUUAUGAAGAUUUUAGUUAUUUUGUGUUAUCAUGUCCACUUGUUUAGUGUUUUUAAUACAGUAAGUGUUCAUUGUUUUGCUUGCACUGUUUUUUUUGUUUUUGUUUUCAGUUCACAAAUCAACAGAAUCCUGUUUAAAUGAGAGAAGCCACUGUGGAAAAAUCCUCUGCCGAGGCCACCACAGUGUCAAUAAACUGCCCUACUUCACAAGCACAUUCCAGGUUUUAUGAAGAGGACAGGACGGGGGAGAAAAGUUUGACGAGAACGAAGAUAGACUGAAUCCAGCUUUUCAGUCAUGCCUGCUGCCAUCAGAUAAAGAUGUGAUUCUGAAAUGUCUCAUCACAGCACCAAACCAAACAUGAAGUCAUGGACAUCUACACUUGUAUGAACUUAUUGUUUGACCUGCUUUACCAUUUUCCAUGAUCUGUUAAUGAAAGAGUCAAGCUCUUGAUCUGAUCCAUGCCUCACUGAGACGUGAACCAAAACAAAGAGCUGAAAGACGCUGACCCGAGAACCAAACAGAGGAAGAUUAAUUGCUGUGGGUUUGUCUUCAUAAACAACGCUUCUCAUGUUA
Long non-coding RNA from Solea senegalensis (Senegalese sole), 1080 nucleotides. RefSeq lists it as uncharacterized. NCBI's taxonomy places the organism in Eukaryota, Metazoa, Chordata, Actinopteri, Pleuronectiformes, Soleidae. The transcript has 2 exons. The record is from RefSeq and is a predicted model, not a curated record.